UGCGGCGGCGCUGCCUGGCGUGUGCGCAAGGAGCGGGCGCGGAGCCGGCGGGCGGGCGGAGGAUAGCGCGGGCGCGGCACCUGCGGGCCCGAGGGUCUGGCUGUCGCAGCGCCGGGCCGCCCCGACUCCGAGCGGCUGCUGAGAUGAGUGCAGUGUCGCAGCCCCAGGCUGCUCCCAGCCCGCUGGAGAAGUCGCCCAGCACGGCGAUCCUGUGCAACACGUGUGGGAAUGUGUGCAAGGGCGAGGUGCUGCGGGUGCAGGACAAGUACUUCCACAUCAAGUGCUUCGUCUGUAAAG
Molecule: long non-coding RNA, 297 nt
Filed under: Homo sapiens (human)
Lineage: Eukaryota; Metazoa; Chordata; Mammalia; Primates; Hominidae
Description: non-protein coding lnc-ABLIM2-2:1
Source: RNAcentral